GAGUUUCACAACCUUUGCCCCACUACGCUUUGUAUUGGAUUGGGAUGUCUACACUAUUAGAAAUAGUGUCGUGGUUGCCAUUUGCCCAUCCCUGCAUUCCACAAAAAACCAUAUCUAAAUCACCAUCCUCUAUCCUACCAUGUUGGUAGCUAUACAAACCUAAACAAUUAUAAUAAUCUUUAAUUCAUAUUUAUUUGAUGUCAAUUAACUUUUUUUUUCACUCAUUACCUACCUAAACACUAUUUUGCAUUCCAGUCUUCCAUAUAAUUUUAACACCCAUAAUAAACCAUCUCAUAUUUUUCAUAUCUCAAAGAAAGCCUAAGUUAAGGACUAUGAGAAUUAUAAACCCUAGGGUACAGUAACACAUACUAGGAUUGUAAUCAAUUUGAUUGAGGACGAACAUAACAUCAGAGAUUGUUUACCAGUUGUUAACAGAUUGCUGCUUCUUCAAGGCUCUCCGUUUCCCAAAAUUUUCUCUCUUCUUUCCUUCACCGACUACUCUCUAUGGCUGCUCGCAAUUUUCUUCCUCUCUUCCACCUCCUGUAGAAGGCUAUUGGCAAUUCCUCGCCUCCGC
RNAcentral lists this long non-coding RNA (574 nucleotides) under Jatropha curcas. Its description in RNAcentral is "long non-coding RNA (JCUR_LNC000096)". The record is from RNAcentral. Lineage: Eukaryota; Viridiplantae; Streptophyta; Magnoliopsida; Malpighiales; Euphorbiaceae.